Oryctolagus cuniculus (rabbit) is the source of this 1448-nucleotide non-coding RNA. The record is from RefSeq and is a predicted model, not a curated record. Lineage: Eukaryota; Metazoa; Chordata; Mammalia; Lagomorpha; Leporidae.
UGUGCCGUGUCCUGUGUUUGUGCUGUGUGUAGUUACGUGCAUGUGGUAUGUGCUGUGUGCCAUGUAUUUAGUGCGUGUAGGUGUUGUGUGCUGUGCAUGUAGCACGUGUGCAGUGUGUACCAUGUGCUGUGUCUAGUAUGUAUAGGUGGUGUGUGCCAUGCAUGUAGUGUGCAUGGUAUGUAGCAUGUAGGUGGUGUGUGCUGUGCAUGUAGCAUGUGUGCAGUAUGUACCAUGUGCUGUGUGCCAUGUUGUGUUUAGUAUGUGUAGCUGGUGUGUGCCAUCUAUGUAGCAUGUAGGUGAUGCGUGGCAUGUAAGUGGUGUGUGCCAUGUGUGUAGUGUUGUACAGUGUUCUGUGUGCUAUGUGUCUAGUCUAUAUAGGUGGUGUGUGCCCUGUGUGUACUGUAUGUGUAGGUGGUGUGUGCUGUGUAGCACGUGUGCAGUGUUCCGUGUGCUGUGUGCCAUGUGUCUAGUAUAUACAGGUGCUGUGUGCCCUGUGUGUACUAUAUGUGUAGGUGGUGUGUGCUGUGUAGCACGUGUGCAGUGUGUACCGUGUGCUGUGUGCCAUGUGUUUAGUAUAUAGAGGUGGUGUGUGCCCUGUGUGUACUGUAUGUGUAGGUGGUGUGUGCUGUGUAGCAUGUGUGCAGUGUGUACCGUGUGCAGUGUGCCAUGUGUUUAGUAUGUGUAGGUGGUGUGUGCCCUGUGUGUACUGUAUGUGUAGGUGGUGUGUGCUGUGUAGCACGUGUGCAGUGUUCCGUGUGCUGUGUGCCAUGUGUUUAGUAUAUAUAGGUGGUGUGUGCCCUGUGUGUACUGUAUGUGUAGGUGGCGUGUAGCACGUGUGCAGUGUGUACCAUGUGCUGUGUGCCCUGUGUGGGAACAGGAGCUGCAUUUGCAAGCAGCCCAGGUCACGGGUGCGACUGAGCGGGGCUGCAGGACACUGGCCCAGGUGGCGCCGGGAAGAGCCUCCUGUCACCCGACCACCGAUGCAGUCCUGGGCAAGCCCUGAGCCUUCUCAGCCUCCUCUUCCUGCCCCCACCUCACUAACCCCCCCAUCCUCCCCCAGGUGGCUCUGGGAGCUGUCCCUGGGCCCGGAUGUCCGGCAGGGAGGAUCUCAGGGUCCCUGGGCCCCACGGCGGUGCACGGCUCAGCCUGGACCCUGCCAACUCCCCCAAAGCUUCCAGUCAGGGGUGUGGGAGGGGUGAGGAGGCAGAGGCCUGCAGGGCCGGGGAGGGAGUCGCCUGCCCCAAGCCCCCUCCCCAGGAGUCUGCCCACCCACCUGUCCUAGCAGACCAACUCCUGCCCACGGGCCUGGGCCUGUGGACGUUGCAGAGCCAGGCCCGGGGGAGCCGGUGGUCACUGGCCUCUCCUGCCAGGAGGCAGAGGCCGGGGUGGGGAGCUGCACUGACCAGCAGGGUGGGAGAGAAUGGCAGCUCUGGGCUUCGGCAUGAUUC